CAGCCCUAGAAAAGAAGAUGGAGAGAUUGGCCUCUUCUGUUUUCCUUACCCUUCCUGCAACACCACUCUCUCCUACAUAUAGGUUCGUUUCUAUUCCCACCUACUCCUAACAUAUUCUUUUUUUUAGUGAAUUGCAAAGUGGUUGAAGCUCAUUUGCACUUGUCUGAAUUCUUUUACUUUAAGUUUGUUUAUCGACACUUUCACUUUAUAUUUGUUAUUGCAUUAUUAGAACAUCAUUGUCUCUUUUGAUGAUGAUAGUCUUCAUGUUGCCUCGCUGUAAUGUUGAACUCAGAAAUUUACAUACAUCCUACAACUAUGCCAACGGAAAAUGUCUGUGCUGUCGAUGGGACGGUGGAAUUGGCAACCUUUUUAACUAUCAUAUUAUUAUCUUUGGAUUAUAAGUUUGGUUGUUUAAGCAUGUCUGUAAUCUAAAACUCCCCACAAUUUACCCCAAUGAGCUCGAAUCUCCAUGGUUUCGUUCAAGGCAAUGGAAAUUUCGAACUGUGAUAAAAUAAUCAUUGAUUUUAAAAUUUUAAGAGAUUUUUAGUGAGAACUUGCAGCAAAGUUAAAGUUUAAGCACCGGCAACCCAACUCCAAAAAAAAAGUUGGCACCUCAAAGUUGAAGUCCUGGAAGAGUUUUCAUGCUAAUAAUGAUGUUGCGAUAGAUAUAACUUUUUAGCUCAGUAUGCAACAAUCUAAUGGAUGGUUGGAGUUACAUAAAACAGUUUAGAGGUAGAGUGCCCAAUGAGAGAAUCUAUCCGACAAACGAUAUGUGAUACCCACAACAAUACUGAUUUCAGGUCCUCAUAUCUGUCUAUUAUAAUAGAUGACAAUGUAAAACAUGUCAUGAUGAAUAAGAAAGAGUUUACAUUUGUUAGGUAAAAGGUUGAUACCAAUCAUGCUUACAACUAUCCCCAAGAUCUUGAAUUGAUUCUAUAACAAGCCAAUCCAAGCCAAGCAUGAUAGAUGUUAUGCUUGUGUGUGUUUGUGUGGGUUUAUAUGUUUAUAUAGAUAUAUUACGCCCUCAGUCCCUGGUAAUAUUAAAGACACGUCUAGGCACAUUCUGAUCCGCCUAAGCAAGUGACUCAACUUCCUUGCUUGGGCUGAGGCACAGUGUCUCGUCUUCAAAGAGGUGCCCACCUCUUGCCUUAUGAGGCUAUCUGAGGCAGGAGGUGCUAAAUAGGCGCACUUCAACUCUGUCCACUUAUGUUGUUUCAAGCAAUAAAGGUUGCAUCCUGUUGAUUACAGGGUCCCCAAAAGUAUAAGUGCUACUAUUACUUGUACUCUGUUGUAUAUUAUCUGCUGAAAGAUCUGCCACAGAAAGGCUCUCAAGUCUAAACUAAUGCCUAAAGGAAGUUUGGAGAGCACAACACCCAUAGUUUGGACAUCUUGCUAUCAGCUUCCCUGCUAUUUUUUGGAUGAUUAUAUGGUGAACUUGUUUUCCUUUUCUUUUUUGUUAUUGCUAUUUAAGUUCCUUUUUAUGGUUUUCACAGAAAUCGCAGCUGCUGUCUUAUAAGGUUUCUUUAUCUGCAGGGAUCAAUUAAACAUGAUUCUCUUUGCUAGUUGCUAUGCUCCCCCGGUCCAAGAGAAAACAUUAGCUCAAUUGCAAGUUGUACGUAGUAUCUGGAUUGUAAAGGUUUGCUAGAGGCAUAAAUACACCACGAUAUGAACAAGUGACAGACGAAGAAAAUUUCUAUCAACCACUUCUGCGUAUUUGGUUUUUACAUUUAGGUACUUGUGAUAAGUUCUUUAUUAGCCUGUUGUUGGAAAUAUGUGAAGAGCAAAUUUAUGCUAGCAAUGUUUACAUUGUUAGAAAUCAGAACAGAAAAGAGGCGUAUCUGUUUCAUAUCUGCUGCCCAAAUAACUUUUUUUAGAAAUAGAAUCACAGGGAUUGCAAUAGAUUUCAAUUCUUGAAACAAGGUAGUUAUCAAAGUAUAUAUGGAAUACAGAAAUCUUAAUAAGCUUUCACAGAGGGAUUCCUAGGAGUAGACAAAGAACCACCGUCCUUAUUUGCACAGCUUUUACCAUUCCUCAAGGCCAUCGCGACCAAAAACUUCUCUUUUGUUUCGCGGCUAACCCUGGCUGAUGAAAUACUGCUGUUUUUGCAGGCGUGGUCCGCUGGAAACCGGUGAUUGAGACACACUCUGGUCUGGCAAGUCUUGCAGGUGCUAGUAUUAGAAAAGGUCAAAAUUUCCUUGCACCUCUUGACAGAACAGGUGGGCUUCUUCUUCUUGCUGGGGUCACAAUCUCCUGACCU
RNAcentral lists this long non-coding RNA (2257 nucleotides) under Daucus carota (carrot). RNAcentral describes it as "long non-coding RNA (DCAR_LNC003046)". Lineage: Eukaryota; Viridiplantae; Streptophyta; Magnoliopsida; Apiales; Apiaceae. The record is from RNAcentral.